This 429-nucleotide ribosomal RNA is filed under the name uncultured archaeon. Its description in RNAcentral is "bacterial SSU rRNA". It matches the Rfam family "Archaeal small subunit ribosomal RNA", at positions 474 to 903 of the family's 1478-position model. The record is from RNAcentral.
UACCAGCUCUCCGAGUGGUAGGGAUGAUUAUUGGGCUUAAAGCGUCCGUAGCCGGCUUAGCAAGUUUCCUGUUAAAUUCAGCGACCUAAUCGUUGAGCCGCGGGAAAUACUACUAGGCUAGGAGGCGGGAGAGGUCGACGGUACUUCCGGGGUAGGGGUGAAAUCCUAUAAUCCCGGGAGGACCACCAGUGGCGAAGGCUGUCGACUAGAACGCGCUCGACGGUGAGGGACGAAAGCUGGGGGAGCGAACCGGAUUAGAUACCCGGGUAGUCCCAGCUGUAAACGAUGCGGGCUAGGUGUUGGGGUGGCUACGUGCCACUUCAGUGCCGCAGGGAAGCCAUUAAGCCCGCCGCCUGGGGAGUACGGCCGCAAGGCUGAAACUUAAAGGAAUUGGCGGGGGAGCACCACAAGGCGUGAAGCUUGCGGUUC